GACGAACGCUGGCGGCGUGCUUAACACAUGCAAGUCGAACGGUGAAGGGGUCUGCUUUUGUGGGCCCUGGAUGAGUGGCGAACGGGUGAGUAACACGUGAGUAACCUGCCCCCUUCUUCUGGAUAACCGCAUGAAAGUGUGGCUAAUACGGGAUAUUCUGGGUCUGUCGCAUGAUGGGUCUGGGAAAGAUUGCGCCUUUGGGUGUUUUUGGUGGGGGAUGGGCUCGCGGCCUAUCAGCUUGUUGGUGGGGUGAUGGCCUACCAAGGCGGUGACGGGUAGCCGGCCUGAGAGGGUGGACGGUCACACUGGGACUGAGACACGGCCCAGACUCCUACGGGAGGCAGCAGUGGGGAAUAUUGCACAAUGGGCGCAGGCCUGAUGCAGCGACGCCGCGUGAGGGAUGGAGGCCUUCGGGUUGUAAACCUCUUUCGCCAGUGAAGCAGGCCUGCUCCUUGUGGGUGGGUUGACGGUAGCUGGAUAAGAAGCGCCGGCUAACUACGU
Molecule: ribosomal RNA, 501 nt
Filed under: uncultured bacterium
Lineage: Bacteria
Description: partial 16S ribosomal RNA
Rfam family: Bacterial small subunit ribosomal RNA
Source: RNAcentral